UGGGGAAUUUUGGACAAUGGGCGAAAGCCUGAUCCAGCAAUGCCGCGUGUGUGAGAAGGCAGCUUCGGGUUGUAAAGCACUUUUGUCCGGAAAGAAAUCCUUGGCUCUAAUACAGUCGGGGGAUGACGGUACCGGAAGAAUAAGCACCGGCUAACUACGUGCCAGCAGCCGCGGUAAUACGUAGGGUGCAAGCGUUAAUCGGAAUUACUGGGCGUAAAGCGUGCGCAGGCGGUUUGCUAAGACCGAUGUGAAAUCCCCGGGCUCAACCUGGGAACUGCAUUGGUGACUGGCAGGCUAGAGUAUGGCAGAGGGGGGUAGAAUUCCACGUGUAGCAGUGAAAUGCGUAGAGAUGUGGAGGAAUACCGAUGGCGAAGGCAGCCCCCUGGGCCAAUACUGACGCUCAUGCACGAAAGCGUGGGGAGCAAACAGGAUUAGAUACCCUGGUAGUCCACGCCCUAAACGAUGUCAACUAGUUGUUGGGGAUUCAUUUCCUUAGUAACGUAGCUAACGCGUGAAGUUGACCGCCUGGGGAGUACGGUCGCAAGAUUAAAACUU
Molecule: ribosomal RNA, 555 nt
Filed under: uncultured bacterium
Lineage: Bacteria
Description: partial 16S ribosomal RNA
Rfam family: Bacterial small subunit ribosomal RNA
Source: RNAcentral